RNAcentral lists this ribosomal RNA (253 nucleotides) under uncultured bacterium. RNAcentral's name for it is "partial 16S ribosomal RNA". It matches the Rfam family "Bacterial small subunit ribosomal RNA", at positions 524 to 776 of the family's 1533-position model. The record is from RNAcentral.
UACGUAGGGUGCAAGCGUUGUCCGGAAUCAUUGGGCGUAAAGCGCGUGUAGGCGGUUCGAUAAGUCUUCUGUGAAAGUCCAAGGCUCAACCUUGGGAUGCCGGUGGAUACUGUCGGGCUAGAGUGCGGAAGAGGCGAGUGGAAUUCCCGGUGUAGCGGUGAAAUGCGCAGAUAUCGGGAGGAACACCAAUUGCGAAGGCAGCUCGCUGGGACGUAACUGACGCUGAGACGCGAAAGCGUGGGGAGCAAACAGG